Molecule: ribosomal RNA, 482 nt
Filed under: uncultured bacterium
Lineage: Bacteria
Description: partial 16S ribosomal RNA
Rfam family: Bacterial small subunit ribosomal RNA
Source: RNAcentral
AUUGAACGCUGGCGGCAUGCCUUACACAUGCAAGUCGAACGGUAACAGGUCUUCGGAUGCUGACGAGUGGCGAACGGGUGAGUAAUACAUCGGAACGUGCCCGAUCGUGGGGGAUAACGAGGCGAAAGCUUUGCUAAUACCGCAUACGAUCUACGGAUGAAAGCGGGGGAUCUUCGGACCUCGCGCGGACGGAGCGGCCGAUGGCAGAUUAGGUAGUUGGUGGGAUAAAAGCUUACCAAGCCGACGAUCUGUAGCUGGUCUGAGAGGAUGAUCAGCCACACUGGGACUGAGACACGGCCCAGACUCCUACGGGAGGCAGCAGUGGGGAAUUUUGGACAAUGGGCGAAAGCCUGAUCCAGCCAUGCCGCGUGCAGGAUGAAGGCCUUCGGGUUGUAAACUGCUUUUGUAUGGAACGAAAAGCCUCUUUCUAAUAAAGAGGGGUCAUGACGGUACCGUAAGAAUAAGCACCGGCUAACUACGUG